RNAcentral lists this ribosomal RNA (797 nucleotides) under Balneolaceae bacterium. Its description in RNAcentral is "bacterial SSU rRNA". It matches the Rfam family "Bacterial small subunit ribosomal RNA", at positions 1 to 796 of the family's 1533-position model. Lineage: Bacteria; Pseudomonadati; Balneolota; Balneolia; Balneolales; Balneolaceae. The record is from RNAcentral.
ACAAUGGAGAGUUUGAUCCUGGCUCAGGACGAACGCUGGCGGCGGGCCUAACACAUGCAAGUCAAAGGAGAAUUUCGGAGCAAUCUGAAAGGACACUGGCGCACGGGUGAGUAACGCGUAGGUAACCUACCUUCUGCUGGGGGAUAACACCGGGAAACCGGUGCUAAUACCGCAUAAAGCAACAGUCACGCAUGUGGCAGUUGUUAAAGAAUUUCGGCAGAAGAUGGGCCUGCGUGUCAUUAGUUAGUUGGUAAGGUAAUGGCUUACCAAGACGAUGAUGACUAGGGGGUCUGAGAGGAUGAUCCCCCACACUGGAACUGAGACACGGUCCAGACUCCUACGGGAGGCAGCAGUGAGGAAUCUUGCGCAAUGGGGGAAACCCUGACGCAGCCACGCCGCGUGCCGGAAGACGGCCCUAUGGGUUGUAAACGGCUUUUAAAUGGGAAGAACGCCUGGGGUUUGCCCUGGGGUGACGGUACCAUUUGAAUAAGCACCGGCUAACUCCGUGCCAGCAGCCGCGGUAAUACGGAGGGUGCAAGCGUUGUCCGGAAUCAUUGGGUGUAAAGGGUGCGUAGGCGGGAGCCUAAGUCUGUGGUGAAAUCUUGCCGCUUAACGGUAAAAUUGCCAUGGAUACUGGGUUUCUUGAGUACAGAAGAGGUCGGUGGAAUUCGUAGUGUAGCGGUGAAAUGCAUAGAUAUUACGAAGAACACCAGUGGCGAAGGCGGCCGGCUGGACUGUAACUGACGCUGAGGCACGAAAGCGUGGGGAGCGAACAGGAUUAGAUACCCUGGUAGUCC